CUGCCAGUAAUUAUAUGCUUGUCUCAAAGAUUAAGCCAUGCAAGUCUUAGUUCACACCUUCAAACGGUGAAACCGCGAAUGGCUCAUUAAAUCAGCUAUAAUUUCUUGGAUCUUAAAGUUACUUGGAUAACUGUAGUAAUUCUAGAGCUAAUACAUGAAACUGCACCCAUUAUUGGGUAGCGAAAUUAUUAGAACAAGACCAACCCGCUUCGGCGGUACUUUGGUGACUCUGGAUAACUUUCUUGAUCGCAUGACUUUAUGUCGGCGACGCAUCUUUCAAGUGGCUGACCUAUCAACUUGAUGGUGAGUUAAAUGCUCACCAUGGUUGUAACGGGUAACGGGGAAUCAGGGUUCGAUUCCGGAGAGGGAGCCUUAGAAACGGCUACCACAUCCAAGGAAGGCAGCAGGCGCGCAAAUUACCCACUCUCAGCAAGAGGAGGUAGUGACGAUAAAUAACAAUGCGGGACUCAAUACGAGGCUUCGCAAUUGGAAUGAGAACAGAAUAAAACUCUUAUCGAGUAUCAAUCAGAGGGCAAGUCUGGUGCCAGCAGCCGCGGUAAUUCCAGCUCUGAUAGCGUAUAUUAAAGUUGCUGCAGUUAAAAAGCUCGUAGUUGGAUCUCAGGUUUGAUACAGCAGUGCAGCUUCAUGGUUGUUACUGUCAGUGUCUGCCUUUCAGUGCCAGUAAGCCCCAUGGUGAGCUUAACUGUUUGCCUUGGUGGAAAUUGGCAAGUUUACCUUGAAAAAAUCAGAGUGCUUAAAGCAGGCCUUUGUGCUUGUAUGAUGGUGCAUGGAAUAAUAGAAUAGGACUUUGAUCCUAUUUUGUUGGUCUUCGGGACCAGAGUAAUGAUAAAUAGAGACUGUGGGGGGCCUUCGUAGUGCAGUGAUAGAGGUGAAAUUCUGAGACCAUUGCACGACGAACAACUGCGAAAGCAUUGGCCUACUAUGUCUUCAUUAAUCAAGAACGAAAGUCAGAGGUUCGAAGACGAUUAGAUACCGUCCUAGUUCUGACCAUAAACGAUGCCAAUCAGUGCUUACGGGUAGUUUACAUUUAUUGCUACUCGUAGGCGCCCCUGGGAAACCUCAAAUUGGUUCUGGGGGGAAUAUGGUCUCAAGGCCGAAACUUAAAGGAAUUGACGGAAGGGCACCACCAGGAGUGGAGCCUGCGGCUUAAUUUGACUCAACACGGGGAAUCUCACCCGGUCCGGACACUAGAAUGAUAGACAGAUUGAUAGCUCUUUCUUGAUUUGGUGUAUGGUGGUGCAUGGCCGUUCUUAGUUGGUGGAGUGAUUUGUCUGGUUAAUUCCGAUAACGAACGAGACUCUGUCCUGCUAAAUAGUCUGAUAGCAUGGAUUGUUUUAUCAAUCUUGGCAAUUAUUGACUUCUUAGAGGGAUUCGCGCAAUAUUAACGCGCACGAAAUAGAGCAAUAACAGGUCUGUGAUGCCCUUAGAUGUCCGGGGCCGCACGCGCGCUACAUUGACAAUGACAAAAAGUAUUACAACCUGGUCUGAAAGGAUUGGGAAAUCUUUGAAUCAUUGUCUCCACAGGGAUUGAGGUUUGCAAUUAUCCCUCAUGAACGAGGAAUUCCUAGUAGGCGCAAGUCAUCAGCUUGCGUCGACUAAGUCCCUGCCCUUUGUACACACCGCCCGUCGCUACUACCGAUUGAGUGGUUUAGUGAGGAGCUUGGACUGAAUUUUCGGAGGCUGCAAGGUCUCUGAAUUUUUGGAAAGCGCUUCAAACUGUGCUACUUAGAGGAAGUAAAAGUCGUAACAAGGUUUCUGUAGGUGAACCUGCAG
This 1794-nucleotide ribosomal RNA is filed under the name Brinkmanniella palmata. RNAcentral's name for it is "SSU rRNA". It matches the Rfam family "Eukaryotic small subunit ribosomal RNA". Lineage: Eukaryota; Metazoa; Platyhelminthes; Rhabdocoela. The record is from RNAcentral.